RNAcentral lists this non-coding RNA (21 nucleotides) under Caenorhabditis elegans. The record is from RNAcentral. Lineage: Eukaryota; Metazoa; Nematoda; Chromadorea; Rhabditida; Rhabditidae.
UGGUGUCUUUUCAUGCUCCAA